AUUGAACGCUGGCGGCAUGCCUUACACAUGCAAGUCGAACGGCAGCACGGGGGCAACCCUGGUGGCGAGUGGCGAACGGGUGAGUAACGCAUCGGAAUGUACCCAGUAGUGGGGGAUAACUAGUCGAAAGACUAGCUAAUACCGCAUACGCACUGAGGUGGAAAGCGGGGGAUCGCAAGACCUCGCGCUAUUGGAGCAGCCGAUGUCCGAUUAGGUAGUUGGUGGGGUAAAGGCCUACCAAGCCUGCGAUCGGUAACUGGUCUGAGAGGACGACCAGUCACACUGGGACUGAGACACGGCCCAGACUCCUACGGGAGGCAGCAGUGGGGAAUUUUGGACAAUGGGCGCAAGCCUGAUCCAGCAAUGCCGCGUGUGUGAAGAAGGCCUUCGGGUUGUAAAGCACUUUUGGCGGGAGCGAAACGGCGUUUGCUAAUACCAGACGCUAAUGACGGUACCCGCAGAAUAAGCACCGGCUAACUACGUGCCAGCAGCCCGG
Molecule: ribosomal RNA, 496 nt
Filed under: uncultured bacterium
Lineage: Bacteria
Description: bacterial SSU rRNA
Rfam family: Bacterial small subunit ribosomal RNA
Source: RNAcentral